This 428-nucleotide ribosomal RNA is filed under the name Bacteroidota bacterium. Its description in RNAcentral is "Bacteroidetes bacterium partial 16S ribosomal RNA". It matches the Rfam family "Bacterial small subunit ribosomal RNA", at positions 355 to 775 of the family's 1533-position model. Lineage: Bacteria; Pseudomonadati; Bacteroidota. The record is from RNAcentral.
UAGGGAAUCUUCCGCAAUGGACGCAAGUCUGACGGAGCAACGCCGCGUGAGUGAAGAAGGAUUUCGGUUCGUAAAACUCUGUUGUUAGAGAAGAACAGCGCAUAGAGUAACUGUUAUGCGUGUGACGGUAUCUAACCAGAAAGCCACGGCUAACUACGUGCCAGCAGCCGCGGUAACACGUAGGUGGCAAGCGUUAUCCGGAUUUAUAGGGCGUAAAGCGAGCGCAGGCGGUCAAUUAAGUCAGAUGUGAAAGCCCCCGGCUCAACCGGGGAGGGUCAUUGGAAACUGCUUGACUUUAGUGCAGAAGAGGAGAGUGGCAUUCGAUGUGUAGCAUUGAAAUGCGUAGUUAUAUGGAGGAACACCAGUGGCGAAGGCGACUCUCUGGUCUGUAACUGACGCUAAGGUUCGAAAGCGUGGGUAGCGAACAG